Molecule: transfer RNA, 73 nt
Organism: Ovis aries (sheep)
Lineage: Eukaryota; Metazoa; Chordata; Mammalia; Artiodactyla; Bovidae
Rfam family: tRNA
About the family: Transfer RNA (tRNA) molecules are approximately 80 nucleotides in length. Their secondary structure includes four short double-helical elements and three loops (D, anti-codon, and T loops). Further hydrogen bonds mediate the characteristic L-shaped molecular structure. tRNAs have two regions of fundamental functional importance: the anti-codon, which is responsible for specific mRNA codon recognition, and the 3' end, to which the tRNAs corresponding amino acid is attached (by aminoacyl-tRNA synthetases). tRNAs cope with the degeneracy of the genetic code in two manners: having more than one tRNA (with a specific anti-codon) for a particular amino acid; and 'wobble' base-pairing, i.e. permitting non-standard base-pairing at the 3rd anti-codon position.
Source: Rfam
UCUCUGAUGGGCCAGUGGCUAAGACUCUGUGCUCCCAAUGCAGGGGGCCUGGGUUCAAUCCCUGGUCAGGGAA